UGGGGAAUAUUGGACAAUGGGGGAAACCCUGAUCCAGCCAUGCCGCGUGCGUGAAGAAGGCCUUAGGGUUGUAAAGCGCUUUCGGCGGGGAAGAUGAUGACGGUACCCGCAGAAGAAGCCCCGGCUAACUCCGUGCCAGCAGCCGCGGUAAUACGGAGGGGGCUAGCGUUGUUCGGAAUUACUGGGCGUAAAGGGCGCGUAGGCGGGCGAUCAAGUCAGAGGUGAAAGGCCUGGGCUCAACCUGGGAAUUGCCUUUGAAACUGAUUGUCUAGAGUCCGGAAGAGGAUGGCGGAAUUCCCAGUGUAGAGGUGAAAUUCGUAGAUAUUGGGAAGAACACCAGUGGCGAAGGCGGCCAUCUGGUCCGGUACUGACGCUGAGGCGCGAAAGCGUGGGGAGCAAACAGGAUUAGAUACCCGUGUAGUCCCUGAGCGGGCUGGCAAGGCGCAU
RNAcentral lists this ribosomal RNA (447 nucleotides) under uncultured bacterium. Its description in RNAcentral is "bacterial SSU rRNA". It matches the Rfam family "Bacterial small subunit ribosomal RNA", at positions 355 to 825 of the family's 1533-position model. The record is from RNAcentral.